This 654-nucleotide ribosomal RNA is filed under the name uncultured Pseudomonadota bacterium. RNAcentral describes it as "bacterial SSU rRNA". It matches the Rfam family "Bacterial small subunit ribosomal RNA", at positions 74 to 721 of the family's 1533-position model. The record is from RNAcentral. Lineage: Bacteria; Pseudomonadati; Pseudomonadota.
AGGAGCUUGCUCUUCUUGGAUGAGUUGCGAACGGGUGAGUAACGCGUAGGUAACCUGCCUUGUAGCGGGGGAUAACUACUGGAAACGGUAGCUAAUACCGCAUAACGUCGCAAGACCAAAGAGGGGGACCUUCGGGCCUCUUGCCAUCGGAUGUGCCCAGAUGGGAUUAGCUAGUAGGUGGGGUAAAGGCUCACCUAGGCGACGAUCCCUAGCUGGUCUGAGAGGAUGACCAGCCACACUGGAACUGAGACACGGUCCAGACUCCUACGGGAGGCAGCAGUGGGGAAUAUUGCACAAUGGGCGCAAGCCUGAUGCAGCCAUGCCGCGUGUAUGAAGAAGGCCUUCGGGUUGUAAAGUACUUUCAGCGGGGAGGAAGGGAGUAAAGUUAAUACCUUUGCUCAUUGACGUUACCCGCAGAAGAAGCACCGGCUAACUCCGUGCCAGCAGCCGCGGUAAUACGGAGGGUGCAAGCGUUAAUCGGAAUUACUGGGCGUAAAGCGCACGCAGGCGGUUUGUUAAGUCAGAUGUGAAAUCCCCGGGCUCAACCUGGGAACUGCAUCUGAUACUGGCAAGCUUGAGUCUCGUAGAGGGGGGUAGAAUUCCAGGUGUAGCGGUGAAAUGCGUAGAGAUCUGGAGGAAUACCGGUGGCGAAGG